RNAcentral lists this ribosomal RNA (465 nucleotides) under uncultured bacterium. Its description in RNAcentral is "partial 16S ribosomal RNA". It matches the Rfam family "Bacterial small subunit ribosomal RNA", at positions 338 to 795 of the family's 1533-position model. The record is from RNAcentral.
CCUACGGGGGGCAGCAGUGGGGAAUAUUGCGCAAUGGGCGAAAGCCUGACGCAGCGACGCCGCGUGAGGGAUGAAGGUCUUCGGAUCGUAAACCUCUGUCAGCAGGGAAGAACGGUCACUGUGCUAAUCAGCAGUGAAUUGACGGUACCUGCAAAGGAAGCACCGGCUAACUCCGUGCCAGCAGCCGCGGUAAUACGGAGGGUGCGAGCGUUAAUCGGAAUUACUGGGCGUAAAGCGCUCGUAGGCGGUAUGUCAAGUCAAGUGUGAAAUCCCCGGGCUCAACGUGGGAACUGCCUUUGAAACUGGCAAACUGGAGUGUGUGAGAGGAUAGUGGAAUUCCAGGUGUAGGGGUGAAAUGCGUAGAUAUCUGGAGGAACAUCAGUGGCGAAGGCGACUAUCUGGCACAUAACUGACGCUGAGGAGCGAAAGCGUGGGUAGCAAACAGGAUUAGAUACCCCAGUAGUC